GGUUGGAUUCGCGUGGGGCAUAAGGGCGGUAAGAUGCGAGAGAUUGACCUCGCUAAACCGGCACGGCAAGCCGUCUAUGAAUACUUGCAAUCGGG
RNAcentral lists this unclassified non-coding RNA (95 nucleotides) under plant metagenome. Its description in RNAcentral is "partial contains 5.8S ribosomal RNA, internal transcribed spacer 2, and large subunit ribosomal RNA". The record is from RNAcentral.